UUUUCUCCACCACAUUGGUCAAACGGUUGUAUAAAUGUGUUUUUGGUUGUUCUAGAUUUGCUUGAAUCUGAGAGUUGCUCAUUUCUGCUUUGACAUUACUAGUACAUUCUUGACAGGCCACCUUCAAGAUUGCAGUCGAUGUACCAUCAGAGCUGACAGCUUUGUCCAAUAUGCCAAUUAUCAGUGAAAAGCUUGAUGCAAAUGUUAAGACUGUUUAUUUUGAGGAAUCUCCUAUUAUGUCAACUUAUUUAGUAGCUGGUGUUGUUGGCCUAUUUGAACAUAUUGAAGAUACAACAUCUGAUGGUAUGUACAUAGGUGGGAGACUGUUCGAUUAUUUAACCGAUUCGUCUUUAGAGACUACUGAAAAAUUUGUUUGCAGGGGUAAAGGUUCGUGCAUAUUGCCCUGUUGGGAAGAGUGACAAAGGGGAGUUUGCUUUAAAUCUUGCUGUUAAGACGCUUGAUCUUUUCUCUAAGUAAUCUACUUCAUUCCUUAGAUGGGGGAAUUUUAAAGUUUAUGUAUUUCGAUUCUUUGUUUAUACAGAAUGACAUUAGAUCCAGGACUCUGUAGUCUAACAAACAUUCCCAUGAUUUUUGGCCUUCCCUUUUGUUCAAGGGGAGGUAAACUUUUAACUAAUUUUCCCCCAUAUAUCUUCCAAACUAUACCACUGAACCCUAGCUAAAUAUCAAUGCAAAAUGCCGGAACAGCUUGAAUUUCUUCCCUCCACCCUUUGCGGUUUCCAGUUUCCACCUCCAAUCAUUUCCCAAAUAAUUGAAGGAUCUCUGGAGAACCUGGAGUCAUUACCCAUGGGGCAUGGCUACCUCUGAAAAUAAACAACGUAAAUUUACAAUCCAAAUUAUACAUAAUUUUCUUUCUGUUCUCUGUUGUGCUAAUUCUAACCUGGUUAUGGUUUCAACCAGAUACUUCUCAACGCCUUACCCACUUCCCAAACUUGAUAUGGUUGCGGUUCCUGAAUUUUCUGGUGGGGCCAUGGAGAAUUAUGGUUUGAUCCCAUACCGUGAAAAUGAAAUGCUUUAUGAUCAUUUGCAUUCCACAACAGCAAGGAAGCAAAGAGUAUAUUUUCAGCUUUGUUACACUUUUGCAGUCAUACGAUACUCUACAUAAAUCAGAACUUUUGAAGGGGAAGCUUUCUUUAGUUUCUCUUGUAUAGUUUCUACUCUUAAAAGUCCGGUGAUGUAUGUUCUAUACUAUAUCCUUUUUCCUGAAUGGAAAAUAUGGUCUCAAUUUCUUCACCAAACUACUGGUGGCCUAGUCAAGGAUGCACUGGAACAAUCACAUCCAAUUGAGGUAAAGAACAACAAAUACUAUUGCUCAUUGUGAAAACUGCUGAAAACAAUAGUGUCUAUGUAUGUAUAUGGAGCAGUAAGAAGUCAAGGAGCAAUGGAAUAUGAUAGUUUCACUUGAAUGAUCAAAGUGCCCAUAUUUAUCUUAACAUUGAUCCUGAAAAAAGAAAGAAAGGGGAAACUGCUCCAUGCAGCAUACUUACUGCUGUUUCGCAUAACUUCAGGUGGAGAUGCACCAUGCUCGUUCAAUUCUCGAAGUUUUCGGUGAUAUCAGCUACAAAAAGGGAUCUGCUGUUAUUCGAAUGCUGCAGAGUUAUCUCGGGGAUGACAUAUACCCGGUACAAAAUUGAUGUCCAUAAGUACCAAUGAGUUUAAUUUUUCAUGCAUCACCAAGAACUUCAAGUUUUCAUAGUGAAUAUUGUAUGUGGAAAUACUCUUCUUAUCACCAAAUGCACUGCUUGAAAUUAGCCCCGGCACUUAGGAAAUUUUCUGAAAUGCCAGGUGCAAUCUAAUGCCCAGCACUGAGCAAUUCUCUCUCUCAAAAUAUAAACAUAAACCCAUGAAAACUGCAAUUAAUGGUUCUUUUAUCUCAUAAAGUGCCAAUGUACAUAGAGUUCUGAACAAAAAGGUCUGAAUGGCAAAGACAAGUUAUAUUGUUCAUUCUGAAGUCAUUCUAGUUUGCAGUUCAUUAUCAGUUUACUCUGUAAUGAGUGAAAAAUUAUUAACAUAGUUCAAUUUAUCUCUUUUAACUGUGAUGCUUCAUAUUAAAUCAGAAAUCGUUAAGUUCCUACAUAAAAUGAUAUUCUGGAUAAAUUUCUGUUGGUGAUCAUCAAUUACACCAACUAUUUUUGGUAGCAUCACCUUUUGUGUUAUAUAUGCAACAGGUUUGUUAUAAUGUCGUCAAAAUAUCAAGUGAGGCCAUCCCAGAUUCAGCAAAUGAUUUGAAACAAUUUUUCAUCAAUCUCCUUCUGUUUCCAGCAGAGUAAGAACAACUCUAAUACAGUUUCGAUAUCGUAAUACCUUCCAUGUUAAACUUAUUGGGUUAUAUACGUGCCUAUAUACGUGCUAAAAUGAACAGUGUUUGUCCUUAUGAUGUAUUCCAGUCUCUUUGAGCUCAUGCUUGCAGUAAUGUUCCGGUUUAUGUGGCUGAUACUUCAUUUAGGAUCACCAGAAAAAACUUUGAUGCUACCGUACUUAGAUGUCAUAUCUGAAAUUUUUUCAUGCAGAAAACUAGGUUGGGAAUCAAGGCCUGGAGAGGAUCAUUUCAGUGCACUUCUGAGAGCAGAAAUCUUGCAGGCCUUGGUUAUCUUUGGCCCUGAUCAAACUCAGAAAGAAGCAUUACACCGUUUUCAGACAUUAUUGAAUGAUGGAAACACUCCACUUCUUUCAGCUGAUACAAAAGGGGUAAUUAAAUCUUGGGUUUAUUACAGUUUUGGUCACUGAGGGUGGGCUUGCACGUGAUAAAUGUGUGCAGGGCAAAAUUGUAUUUCCGCCAUUUAAACAAUUAUUAGUCAUGACCGUUGGAGGUCAGACCAUUAAAACCCAUCCUUCAAAAUAAUAAAAAAAAAUUACAUGUGGUCACCUUUUUAAAUGUUUUCAAGUAUUGUUUAAAAAAUAUUAUAAUUAAAUUAAAUAAUAUAUAGUUGUGGAAUGUAUGAGUAUUGUAUUAUAAUUUUUUUCAAAAUAAUAAAAUAUGAAGGAUCUUAAAAUAUAGUCAUGCAUGGCUAGAGAUGGAAAAAUUUAGUCAUGCACUAUUCUUUAAAAAAUUAAUAUUUUGAAGGGCUAAAUUUUUAGUCAUAGACUACAUUUAGCCCUGUGAUUGGAGAUGGCUUAACAAUUUGAUCACUAAUUGAUACUAGCAUAGUAUCUUAUUUUAUUUUUCUUAUUAUUAACAAGAAAUUGUCACAUCAGUUGGUAAUCAAAAUUUGAUUGAGGAAAAAGAAUUUAUAUGAGAAUGUUCUUGCCAAGUGGUAAUGAAUAUUGUGAAAAGAAUCCAGUUUAAAGAUGAGGGAUUCGAAUUGUCGUUGUAAUAUGCAUUGGAAAAAAAUUAUAAAGUGCUUACUUUUGUUUUUCUAUUAAAAACAAAAUUACAUUUGUUUGCGCUAGUGGGCUAUAACUCAAGGACUCCGAGCCUUUGUAUUUAGAAAUAGUGUAUUUACUCACAUUUCAUAAAAUCUGGACCAUUCAACUAAUUUAAUGCUUGUCAAUAUACCACAUCACCUACGGUAAGUUUGUUUCUUUAAAAAAAAAACAAGCGUUGUUUGUGUAAAUCAUGAGGCUCGAAAUUUUCAUACACCCAAUGAAUAUUUGUGUAAACCACCCUCCCUCAGUCGUUUGUAUUAAAAAAAAUUACACUAAUUUGCUUGAGGUUUUGUGUAUUUUUUUUCAUUGGAUUCCACUUGAAAUGGGCAACUGAUCUCAAUACAAAUAUGUUAGCGUCCAAUUUGAAUUAGUAAUGAAUUUAGCGUCCAAUUUGAAUUAGAAAUGAAUUGACUCAUUUGGGAUUGUUUUUCUAGAAAUCAUUGUUGCUCAUAAGUGCUUCUAGAAAAAAACAUUUUUGUUAUGAAGAUGUUGAAAUUUUCAUAAGAAAUUGAAAUGCUUUUAGGAAAAGCACUUGAGAGUGCUUCUGGUCUCCUUUGGGACUACUUCUUUAGAAAGUACUUCUGCUCAUAAUUGCUUAUAACAAAGGCGCUUAAGUAUAAAAAUGUUGAAAUUUUUAUAAAAAUCAAAGUGCCAGGAAAAGCACUUGGGAGUGCUUUUUUAUUUUUUGGUUAUAAAAAGUUUAAGGGGAGGGGAGGCUACCCCAUCCCAAGGUCAGGGCUUACCAAAGCCUUUUUGAGGACUUACGGAGGGGGUCUUAGCCUAUUUUUUAGUUUUUACAGAUUACCCACCAAUAUGGAUUGUCGACAGUGGGAUUUGAACCUAUGCAUGGAUGACAAAUAGAACGAUCCUUAUCAACUCAAUCAACCAUUGUUGGUAGCACGUGGGAGUGCUUCAUGAAGAAGCAUAUAGCAGGUUCUUAUCAAGAAAACGCUUUUAUGACCCAUAAGUAUUUCUAAAUUUUUCUGUAAAACACUAUCAGAAACACUUUUGGUUGUCAGAAAGCGCUUUUAGCCCUUUUAAAAGCGCUUAUAUGACCUAGAAGCAUUUCUACCUGUCAAAUGAUGUCAAAAGUGCUUUUCGUUAUUAAAAAAAAUUAUUUUCAAUCCUUCCAAAAGCACUCCCAAACAUGCAUUAUUACAUUUGCAUACUUUUAUUCUAUUCCAAUGAUCCAAACAGGAAAAACCCCUCCCCACAAAAGGAUCAAUAUUUAUAUCUGUCACGUGCCAACAGAGACCAAUUACAUCCAUGCACGUACAUGACAAAACCACACAAUUAGUAUGGCAAACAACCAAUUAAUCCAAAUAAAUAAAUAAAAAUAAUAAAAAUUGGUACCAAAUCUUGAAUUCCAUUCCCAUACAAAUUAUGACAAUCAUGAACUCCCCAAUUCCAGCACUCAACACAGACCCUCAUUAGAUGCAUAAUGCAUUCCCAUGAUUAGUUAGUUUUGUAAGGGGGCCUUGUGAGUGUGUUGUGCUCAAGUGCUGCUCUUGUGUACUCUUAUGUUCUUGUUAUUUGAUUUAAGAUUAGGCAUCUUCUAUGUGCUUUUUGAGCAACUGUUUUUGUUUAUAUUACUCGGGGAUCAAUUCUGAAGCAGAAUUUGCCAAAUUUUGUACGGGGUAAUUAUCAUUCGAAUUUCAUCAGUUUUCUUUAUGGUGAGUUUCUUUAGCUCCCAAGUGGCACCCAAUUUUUUUACUUUCAUUCUCACUUAUCACUUGCUUUGUUAAUUGUUUGUAAGUAGGUGGAAAUUUCUGGUUUUCUUUUAUCCUAUUUGCUUUCUGGGUUUUUAAUUUAAUGCGCACCCACAUAUGAUAUGAUAUCUUAUGGUUUGGGGUUAUUCCUUCGAUGCUUUUGCAAUCUUUAAUUCGUUCCCUUGAAGAGAUUCAUGCUACUGUCGAAAUUGACAGAUACAAUGGUCCAAUUUUCCCACUCUUGAAAAUGACAGAUAUCUAUUCUAUACUAAAGAAAUAAAAGGAUAAUAUAUAAACCGUCUCGCAUGUGGAUGCAUCUAAUCAUAGAUUAAAUAUAUUUUUUUUAGUAGAAGUGAUAGUUUAAACAGUUAAAAGAAAUUUACCUAAUUAAUAAUAAAAUGAAAUGUGGAAAAAUUAUCUUAUGUGUCAUUGUGCUAUUGGUUGGAAUAACAAAAAGUGAUAUCCUGUUGCAUGAGAGUUUCUCUCCUAAACUACAGGGGAAUGAGGUUUCUCUCACACACAAACUAAGAUGUUAUGGAAUUUCGAACCUGAGAUCUAUGGUCUACAAGUCAAUAUCCCUUUUCACUAGGAUAUUUUGGCAAAUAGAUUAAAUACUUGAUUAAAUCUAAAAACGUUUUCGCCCAACCAAAAGCUCUUUUCUAAUUUUCACUCUGUGCAUGAAAUGAUUCUUAACGUCACUUCUUUCCACCAUUUAUGUCAAUGAACGACUUGACUUGACAAUCCCACAAACGGAAGUCUAAAAGACACAAACAAGAUAGGAUACAUGGGCAUGUUGACUUUUUGAGCAAAAGCACAAGGCUGAAGCAUCAGCAGCUAACUGCCAUUGCCGCCUGGUCACGAUAUAAGCAAAGAAGCUUAGGUUACAAACGUGUGGUCUGAAGUUUUUCUCCGAAAUGGAGCAGAAACAAAGCAUAGAGCAAUUCAAAGGCCGAGCUCGGCUACCAAACUUUGCAAUCCCAAGGCGCUAUGAUCUUCAUCUCAGGCUUGAUCUCUCAGCAUGCACGUACUCCGGCACCGUGCAGAUUAACGUUAGCAUCGUUGAAGAGACCAAGUUUCUUGUCUUGAAUGCUCUUGAACUUGAUGUUCAUGAAGUUUGCUUCACCAACUCUCAUGGACAAGUAACUGAUUCUGAUCACUGACUUGAUCCGAUUCGAUUUUGUUUAUUGGGUUUUCUUUUAACUGACAGUUUUAUUCUUUACUUGUAGCAGUACCGCCCAAGUGAUGUUGUUUUGGAUGGUGAUGAAGAAUUUCUUGUUUUGGUGUUUGAUCAAGCACUUGGUGUUGGUGAAGGAGUUUUGGGAAUUGGGUUUUCUGCGGUCCUUGAUGCGCACUUGAAAGGCUUCUAUAAAUGGUAAGAAAAUUUGUAUCAUUUUGUAGGUAAAUCAUAAGUUGCAGUUGUGAAAAAUUAUUUUUCCAAAGGCAAUGAAGUACUUUCAGGCGGGCUUUUUGUGGAAGAUGAAAUCUGUAGGCUGUCAAGUUACACAAAUUCUUCAUCCUUACCUGUCUGUUUGGUUGCUAAGAUAGAGACAGAAUACAAGAAAAAACUGAAUUUAGAAUUACCACUUAGCUAAGCUUAAAACAAAUACAAGCGCCUGUAGUUUGGAAGGAAAUAGAGGGAAAAAAUUUCAUUUAUCAAAGAAAGUGGGCCUUUAAUUGUGUUUUAUUUGCUUUUGUCCCUUGUAGUUUCUUUGCUACCAAAUAAGGUUUUUAAUGAAAGCAUUUGACAAUUUGCACAGCACUUACUUGGAUGGAGGAGAGAAAAAGAAUAUGGCCGUCACUCAAUUUGAACCUGUGGAUGCAAGGCGAUGCUUCCCAUGUUGGGAUGAACCUGCGCUCAAGGUAUGUGUAUUCGAGAAGUUCCCGUAAUUGUUGAAACUCUUUUCGAUGCAAUCUCUGUGUUCAUUUGCUAAAAAGCCCCUGGGAAAGUUGAAUCUUUUCUCCACCACAUUGGUCAAACGGUUGUAUAAAUGUGUUUUUGGUUGUUCUAGAUUUGCUUGAAUCUGAGAGUUGCUCAUUUCUGCUUUGACAUUACUAGUACAUUCUUGACAGGCCACCUUCAAGAUUGCAGUAGAUGUACCAUCAGAGCUGACAGCUUUGUCCAAUAUGCCAAUUAUCAGUGAAAAGCUUGAUGCAAAUGUUAAGACUGUUUAUUUUGAGGAAUCUCCUAUUAUGUCAACUUAUUUAGUAGCUGUUGUUGUUGGCCUAUUUGAACAUAUUG
RNAcentral lists this long non-coding RNA (7332 nucleotides) under Prunus persica (peach). RNAcentral's name for it is "long non-coding RNA (PPER_LNC002943)". Lineage: Eukaryota; Viridiplantae; Streptophyta; Magnoliopsida; Rosales; Rosaceae. The record is from RNAcentral.